GUUGUAACACCCUCGAUGCGACUAUAUCUCCCACGUGUCGAGGCACGACUUAGAGGCAUAAUCGCAUUGAAGGCAAUGUCGCAAGUGAGGUAAUCUUCACACAACCCAUGUAAUAUAAUAGGGGAAAAAGUUACAUAGUUGGCUUACACUCGCCACUUCACACAAUUACAUGAAUAAAACAUUACAUCAACCAAGUACAAUCAGGGCCCGACUACGGAGCCAAAAUAAAAGAAGAACCCCAAAUGCGACAAAGAUCCCCGAUCGACCCCAACUGGGCUCCACUACUGAUCAACUAGAACGAAACAACACAAAUGAACAAGGUCUUCAUCGAGCUCCUCCCGAGCUUGGUUGCGUCAUCUGGACGGUCUCAUCGGCACCUGCAAACUGGUUUUGGAAGUAUCUGUGAGCCACAGGGACUCAGCAAUCUCGCACCCUCGCGAUCAAGACUAUUUAAGCUUAUGGGUAAGGUGAAGGUAUGAGGUGGAGCUGCAGCAAGCGACUAACAUAUAUGGUGGCUAACCUAUUCGCAAAAGAGAGCGAGAAGAGAAGGCAAAGCACGGUCGAUAAAAGUAUGAUCAAGAAGUGAUCCUGGACUACCUACGCCAAGCAUAACUCCAACAACCGUGUUCACUUCCCGGACUCCGCCGGAAAGAGACCAUCACGGUUACACACGCUGUUGAUUCAUUUUAAUUAAGGUCAACUUUAGGUUUUCUACAACCGGACGUUAACAAAUUCCCAUCUGCCCAUAACCACGGGCACGGCUUUCGAAAGAUCAAAUCCAUGCAGGGUGUCCCAACUUAGCCCAUGACAAGCUCUCACGGUCAACGAAGGAAUAGACCUCCACCCGAGAUAUUCCGAUCAAACUCGGUAUCCCAGUACAACAAGACAUUUCGACAGGGUAAAACUAAACCAGCAACACCGCCCGAUGCGCCGACAUCCUGAUAGGAGCUGCACAUAUCUCGUUCUCAGGGCAACACCGGAUGAACACUACGUACAGCUAAAACCAGCCCUCAAGUUUCCCCGAGGUGGCGCCGCAAGUGGCUCUAGUUUGGACCAACGCUUAGACAAGCACUGGCCCGGGGGGUUAAAAUAAAGAUGACCCUCGGGAUGCGCGACUCCCAAGGGAAAAAGGCUAGGUGGCAAAUGGUAAAACCAAUGUUGGGCAUUGCUGGCAAAGCUUUACUUAAGGCGAAGUGUCAAGGGGUUCCCAUUAUAGCCCAACCGCGUAAGGGACGCAAAAUCCGGGAACAUAACACCGAUAAGACGGAAACUAGGGCGGCAAGAGUGGAACAAAACACCAGGCAUAAGGCCGAGCCUUCCACCCUUUACCAAGUAUAUAGAUGCAUUAAUUAAAUACGAUAUAUAGUGAUAUCCCAACAAGUAAAACAUGUUCCAACAAGGAACAACAUCUCCAUGUUCCAACAAGGAACAAUCUUCAAACUUCACCUGCAACUAACAACGCUAUAAGAGGGGCGGAGCAAAGCGGUAACAUAGCCAAUCAACGGUUUGCUAGGACAUGGUGGGUUAGGGGCUGAACAUGGCAAUUUGGGAGGCUGACAAGCAAGUGGUAGGCAUCGUAGCAAUGGCAUAGCAAAAGAGCGAGCAAACUAGCAUAGCAAAGAUAGUAGUGAUUUCGAGGGUAUGAUCAUCUUGCCUGAAAUCUCGCAAGGAAGAAGAACGAGUCCAUGAAGAAGACAAACGGACGAAGAUGAACGGGUCCUCACAAACUCGACGUUAUCGGAAUCAACCCGAAGAAGCAAUCACCGGAAAAGAAGCACACAACAUAGUAAACAACCAACACAUCAACAUGGCAUGAUGCACAAACGAGUAUGAUGCAUGUCCGGUUUAAAGAGGCAUGGCAUGGCAAAAUGCACAAGCAAUCCUACAAAUUAAGUGGAGCUCAAUAUGCAACGAGUUGCAUAUUGACGAAACACCACAUCAAUUAUUUAGUUCUCUCUCGUUUAUGUACCCAACAAUAUUAAAUGUUGAUUAACAUGGCAAGAGGUGAAACAUGAUGAAACUAUCUAAUCUAGGCAUGUUUAAAUGAGCCGGAACAACAAAACAACAAGUCCGGAAAAUCCCCAUGUGCAAAUAUUAGGUUUGGUCCUGAUCUGUCCUAAACACAAUUUUAGAGUUGUUUAACAUGCAAAGUAAGGUCACCAUGAUAAACUAGGCAAAAUUCUACCCCAUUUACAUAUAAAGUUUAUUAAAUUCCGAGUUACGGUUAUUAAGUUAUGAAUAAAAUCAUUUUAGCAUGACAUAGAGCAAAAUUAAUGCAAACAACAUUUUAGACAUUUUAACAUGGCAAGAAAGUGGCAUAUUAUUAAUCUACACAAAAUUCUGAGCAAGUUUCAUUUAUAAAGCAUUUUAAUCCGAUGCACGGUUAAUUAGUUAUUAAAUGCAUGAAGACUAGGGGCUUUUCUGUAAAUCUGCAAAUCCCUGUAAAUAGAUAAAUCGCUGAACAGGAAAAAAAAACGAGUCAUGGGAUGAUUCUGAAACAGGGCAGGCGGUGGGGGCUCUCUCACCACGGGCUUCGGCCCGGUAGCAGGAGGAGGAGGCAGGCCGGCGAUGCUGGGUCUCGGAUCUGGUUGGCGGCCCAGCAGAGAGGAGGGACUGGCGCUGGGCCUGGUGGAGCUGGGCCGGAUCGGGCGAAGGGGAGGCGGCCCGCGCGAGAGGGAUCUCGUCCCCGACCUCCCGCCGAGGCCGAGGCGAGCCAUGGUGGCGGCGGCAGGGUCCGGUGGUGGCCUGAGGCGGCGGGGCGAGGCGACACCGGCAGGAAUGGACAGAUCGGGAACUAGGGAAGCUGGAUCCGGUGUCGAGGGUGGUCGACGGCGCUCGGGGAUGCGGGAUCCGGCAGGGCGGAGCUCUCAUGGCGGCGCAAGUCGACGGGGCUUGGCAGGGAGCAAGGUGGUGCGGCCGGGAGGCCAGCGCGGAAGGAGGCGGUGCCUCUCCAGCGAAGUCCGGUAGGGGAGGCGGCGAUGCGGGCUCUGGAUCGGGGCUCCUCCCGAUCUGGAGCUCGGGGAGCAGGGGUGGCGCGAUGCGGCCUCAGGGCCCAGAUCGGGGCCCGGGCGGCCUGGAGCGGGCCUGGCGGCGCGGGGCGAUGGGAGGAGGCGGUGGGGCGACGUGGCAGCGCCCGGUUGGGCAGGGCGACGCCUCAGGUGGCGGCUGGCCUCUUGGCAGCGCCCCAAGUGGCGACGGGGAGGUGGCUGCGCGCGGAAAUCAAGGAGAAGGAGGUGGGAGGCGGCUGGGAAAUGAUUGGGGCACUGAGAUUUAGGAGGAGGGGUAGGUAGCUGCCCAAAAUGGAAGGGGGAAGGUUUAUAUAGGGCAGGUUUUAGGGUUAGGGGGGUUUCGCUCCGUUUCUGGAUCCUCCGAUCGCAAACGAACGGCCCCGGUCAAAGGGGAAAACUAGAUGGGGUUUGUGGGCUGUGUAGGAGGGUUAGGCUGGGAGGAGAGGGGAGAGAUGCAGCCCGGCACAGUUUCCGGAGACCGAAAACCUGCGACGAAAAGACCGGCUACUAUUGCCGCUAUAUUUAAUCAUUGGGGCAUCAAACGAACUCCGAUUGCGAUGAAACUUGACAGGAGGUCUAUCUACACUAUAAUAAGACCACACGUCAAAUCUCAUCCCAUUCCGAGAACAUUUUCUGGCCACUUAUAAAAUACUAUCUCGGACAUGCCGCGGGCGCGUGCAAGUGUGUCUCGUCUCAGAAUGGACAACGGAGAGAACGAGGAGGCCGGGACGGAUGCAAGUUUUGAAAACAUGAUGACGCAAUGCACAUGAUGACAUGAUGAAAUGCAACACGCAAGCAAAUGACAUGGCAACGACGGCGAAUAACUGCACGACACCUGGCACAUCGGUCUCGGGGCGUUACACUAGUGAUCUUGUCAACCAUCAACACUUGAUGUUUUUCUUGAUUUCUACCUUCGUUUAUUUCAGCAUCACGAAGAGCUUGGGAGUUGUUUCCGCUAUCCCUUGCUUAUUAUAGUUCAUCACGAAGUUCUACUAACUUGGUGAUGGUGACUAGAGAAUUCUGUCAAUCACUAUCUUAUCUGGAAGAUUGACUCCCACUUGAUUCAAGCGAUUGUAGUACCCAGACAAUCUGAGCACAUGCUCACUAGUUGAGCGAUUCUCCUCCAUCUUUUAGCUAUAGAACUUGUUGGAGAUUUCAUAUCUCUCAACUCGGGUAUUUUCUUGAAAUAUUAACUUCAACUCCUGGAACAUCUCAUAUGGUCCAUGACGUUCAAAACGUCUUUAAAGUCCCGAUUCUAAGCCACUAAGCAUGAUGCACUAAACUAUCAAGUAGUCAUUUUUGGGGAACGUAGUAAUUUCAAAAAAUUUCCUACGCACACGCAAGAUCAUGGUGAUGCAUAGCAACGAGAGGGGAGAGUGUUGUCUACGUACCAACGCAGACCGACUGCGGAAGCGAUCACACAACGUAGAGGAAGUAGUCGUACGUCUUCUUUCCGAUCCGACCGAUCCAAGCACCGUUACUCCGGCACCUCCGAGUUCUUAGCACACGUACAGCUCGAUGACGAUCCCCGGGCUCCGAUCCAGCAAAGCUUCGGGGAGGAGUUCCGUCAGCACGACGGCGUGGUGACGAUCUUGAUGUUCUGCCGACGCAGGGCUUCGCCUAAGCACUACAACGGUAUGACCGAGGUGGAAUAUGGUGGCAGGGGCACUGCACACGGCUAAGGGACGAUCUCAAGGAUCAACUUGUGUGUCUAUGGGGUGCCCCUUGCCUCAGUAUAUAAAGGAUGGAGGAGGAGGAGGCCGGCCAAGGCAUAAGGUGCGGCCAGGAUGGGAGUCCUACUAGGACUCCAAGUCCUAGUAGGAGUCCAUCAAGAGGGGAGGAAGGGAGAAGGAAGUGGAGGAGUAGGAAAGGUGGCCGGCCCCCUUUUCCCUAGUCCAAUUCGGACUAGAGGGGAGGGGGGGCGCAGCAGGCCUUUUCUCCUCUUCCCACUAAAGCCCAUCAAGGCCCAAUACUUCUCCCAGCGAAUUCCCGUCACUCUCCGGUACUCCGAAAAAUACCCGAAUCACUCGGAACCUUUCCGAAGUCCGAAUAUAGUCGUCCAAUAUAUCGAUCUUUACGUCUCGACCAUUUCGAGACUCCUCGUCAUGUCCCCGAUCUCAUCCGGGACUCUGAACUCCUUCGGUACAUCAAAACUCAUAAACUCAUAAUAUAACUGUCAUCGAAACCUUAAGCGUGCGGACCCUACGGUUCGAGAACAAUGUAGACAUGACCGAGACACGUCUCCGGUCAAUAACCAAUAGCGGGACCUGGAUGCCCAUAUUGGCUCCUACAUAUUCUACGAAGAUCUUUAUCGGUCAAACCGCAUAACAACAUACGUUGUUCCCUUUGUCAUCGGUAUGUUACUUGCCCGAGAUUCGAUCGUCGGUAUCCAAUACCUAGUUCAAUCUCGUUACCGGCAAGUCUCUUUACUCAUUCCGUAAUACAUUAUCUCGCAACUAACUCAUUAAUUGCAAUGCUUGCAAGGCUUAUGUGAUGUGCAUUACCGAGAGGGCCCAGAGAUACCUCUCCGACAAUCGAAGUGACAAAUCCUAAUCUCGAAAUACGCCAACCCAACAUCGACCUUUGGAGACACCUGUAAUGCUCCUUUAUAAUCACCCAGUUACGUUGUGACGUUUGGUAGCACCCAAAGUGUUCCUCCGGCAAACGGGAGUUGCAUAAUCUCAUAGUCAUAGGAACAUGUAUAAGUCAUGAAGAAAGCAAUAGCAACAUACUAAACGAUCGUGUGCUAAGCUAAUGGAAUGGGUAAUGUCAAUCAGUUCAUUCAACUAAUGAUGUGAUCUCGUUAAUCAAAUAACAACUCUUUUGUCCAUGGUUAGGAAACAUAAUCAUCUUUGAUUAACGAGCUAGUCAAGUAGAGGCAUACUAGUGACACUCUGUUUGUCUAUGUAUUCACACAUGUAUUAUGUUUCCGGUUAAUACAAUUCUAGCAUGAAUAAUAGACAUUUAUCAUGAUAUAAGGAAAUAAAUAAUAACUUUAUUAUUGCCUCUAGGGCAUAUUUCCUUCAGUCUCCCACUUGCACUAGAGUCAAUAAUCUAGAUCACAUCACCAUGUGAUUAACAUCGAUAGUUCACAUCAUCAUGUGAUUAACACCCAUAGUUCACAUCGUCAUGUGACCAACACUCAAAGGGUUUACUAGAGUCAGUAAUCUAGUUCACAUCUCUAUGUGAUUAACACCCAAAGAGUACUAAGGUGUGAUCAUGUUUUGCUUGUGAGAUAAUUUUAGUCAACGGGUCUGUCACAUUCAGAUUCGUAAGUAUUUUGCAAGUUCUAUGUCUACAAUGCUCUACAUGGAGCUACUCUAGCUAAUUGCUCCCACUUUCAAUAUGUAUCCAGAUUGAGACUUAGAAUCAUCUGGAUCAGUGUCAAAAACUUGCAUCGACGUAACCCUUUACGAUGAACCUUUUUGUCACGUCCAUAAUCGAGAAACAUAUCCUUAUUUCACUAAGGAUAAUUCUGACCGCUGUCUAGUGAUCUACUCCUAGAUCACUAUUGUACUCCCUUGCCAAAUCAGUGCAGGGUAUACAAUAGAUCUGGUAUACAGCAUGACAUACUUUAUAGAACCUAUGGCCAAGGCAUAGGGAAUGACUUUCAUUCUCUUUCUAUCUUCUGCCGUGGUCGGGCUUUGAGUCUUACUCAACUUCACACCUUAUAAUACAGGCAAGAACUCUUUCUUUGACUGCUCCAUUUUGAACUACUUCAAAAUCUUGUCAAGGUAUGUACUCAUUGAAAAUACUUAUCUAGCGUCUUGAUCUAUCUCUAUAGAUCUUGAAGCUCAAUAUGUAAGCAGCUUCACCGAAGUCUUUCUUUGAAAAACUCCUUUCAAACACUCCUUUAUGCUUUACAGAAUAAUUCUACAUUAUUUCCGAUCAACAAUAUGUCAUUCACAUAUACUUAUCAGAAAUGUUGUAGUGCUCCCACUCAGUUUCUUGUAAAUACAGGCUUCACCGCAAGUCUGUAUAAAACUAUAUGCUUUGAUCAACUCAUCAAGGCGUAUAUUCCAACUCCGAGAUGCUUGCACCAGUCCACAGAUGGAUCGCUGGAGCUUGCACAUUUUGUUAGCACCUUUCGGAUUGACAAAACCUUCUGUUGCAUCAUAUACAACUCUUCUUUAAUAAAUCCAUUAAGGAAUGCAGUUUUGUUUAUCCAUUUGCCAGAUUUCAUAAAAUGCGGCAAGUACUAACAUGAUUCGGACAGACUCAAGCAUAGAUACGAGUGAGAAGCUCUCGUCGUAGUCAACACCUUGAACUUGUCGAAAACCUUUUGCGACAAUUCUAGCUUUGUAGAUAGUAACACUACUAUCAACGUCCGUCUUCCUCUUGAAGAUCCAUUUAUUCUCAAUUGCUUGCCGUUCAUCGGGCAAGUCAACCAAAGUCCAAACUUUGUUCUCAUACAUGGAUCAUAUCUCAGAUUUCAUGGCCUCAAACCAUUUCGCGGAAUCUAGGCUCAUCAUCGCUUCCUCAUAGUUCGUAGGUUCGUCAUGGUCAAGUAACAUGACCUCCAGAACAGGAUUACCGUACCACUCUGGUGCGGAUCUCACUCUGGUUUACCUACAAGAUUCGGUAGUAAUUUGAUCUGAAGUUACAUGAUCAUCAUCAUUAGCUUCCUCACUAAUUGGUGUAGUAGUCACAAGAACAGAUUUUUGUGAUGAACUACUUUCCAAUAAGGUAGAAGGUACAAUUACCUUAUCAAGUUUUCUACUUUCCUCCCACUUAGUUCUUUCAAGAGAAACUCCUUCUCUAGAAAGGAUCCAUUAUAAGCAACGAAUGUCUUGCCUUAGGAUCUGUGAUAGAAGGUGUACCCAACAGUCUCCUUUGGGUAUCCUAUGAAGACAUAUUUCUCCGAUUUGGGUUUGAGCUUAUCAGGAUGAAUUUUUUUUCUCAUAAGCAUCGCAACCCCAAACUUCAAGAAACGACAACUUUGGUUUCUUGCCAAACCAUAGUUCAUAAGGCAUCGUCUCAACGGAUAUAGAUGGUGCCCCUUUUUUUUAACGUGAAUGCAACUGUCUCUAAUGCAUGACCCCAAAAAUGAUAGUGGUAAAUCGGUAAGAUACAUCAUAGAUUGCACUAUAUCCAAUAAAGUACGGUUAUGAUGUUCGGACACACCAUUAUGCUGUGGUGUUCCAGGUGGCGUGAGUAGUGAAACUAUUUCACAUUGUUUUAACUGAAGACCAAACUCGUAACUCAAAUACUCUUUUCCACGAUCAGAUCGUAGAAACUUUAUUUUCUUGUUACGAUGAUUUUCCACUUCACUCUGAAAUUAUAUGAACUUUUCAAAUGUAUCAGACUUCUAUUUCAUUAAGUAGAUAUACCCAUAUCUGCUCAACUCAUCUGUGAAGGUCAGAAAAUAAUGAUACCCGCUGCAAGCCUUAAAUAUUCAUAGGACCACAUACAUCAGUAUGUAUGAUUUCCAACAAAUCUGUUGCUUGCUCCAUUGUUCCGGAGAACGGCGUUUUAGUCAUCUUGCCCAAAAGGCAUGGUUCGCAAGCAUCAAGUGAUUCAUAAUCAAGUGAUUCCGAAAGCCCAUCAGCAUGGAGUUUCUUCAUGCGCUUUAUACCAAUAUGACCUAAACGGCAGUGCCACAAAUAAGUUGCACUAUCAUUAUUAACUUUGCAUCUUUUGGUUUCAAUAUUAUGAAUAUGUGUAUCACUACGAUUGAGAUCCAACGAACUUGUUUCAUUGGUGUAUGACCAUCGAAGGUUUUAUUCAUGUAAACAGAACAACAAUUAUUCUCUGACUUUAAUGAAUAACCGUAUUGCAAUAAACAUGAUCAAAUCAUAUUCAUGCUCAACGCAAAAACCAAAUAACACUUAUUUAAGUUCAACACUAAUCCCGAAAGUAUAGGGGAGUGUGCGAUGAUGAUCAUAUCAAUCUUGGAACUACUUCCAACACACAUCGUCACUUCACCCUUAACUAGUCUCUGUUUAUUCUGCAACUCCUAUUUCGAGUUACUACUCUUAGCAACUGAACCAAUAUCAAAUACUGAGGGGUUGCUAUAAACACUAGUAAAGCACACAUCAAUAACAUGUAUAUCAAAUAUACUUUUGUUCACUUUGCCAUCCUUCUUAUCCGCCAAAUACUUGGGGCAGUUCCGCUUCCAGUGACCAGUCCCUUUGCAGUAGAAGCACUUAGUCUCAGGCUUAGGACCAGACUUGGGCUUCUUCACUUGAGCAGCAACUUGCUUGCCGUUCUUUUUGAAGUUCCCUUCUUCCCUUUUGCACUUUUCUUCAAACUAGUGGUCUUGUCAACCAUCAACACUUGAUGUUUUUCUUGAUUUCUACCUUCAUCGAUUUCAGCAUCACGAAGAGCUUGGGAAUCGUUUCCGUUAUCCCUUGCAUAUCAUAGUUCAUCACGAAGUUCUACUAACUUGGUGAUGGUGACUAGAGAAUUCUGUCAAUCACUAUCUUAUCUGGAAGAUUAACUCCCACUUGAUUCAAGCGAUUGUAGUACCCAGACAAUCUGAGCACAUGCUCACUAGUUGAGCGAUUCUCCUUCAUCUUUUAGCUAUAGAACUUGUUGGAGACUUCAUAUCUCUCAACUCGGGUAUUUGCUUGAAAUAUUAACUUCAACUCCUGGAACAUCUCAUAUGGUCCAUGACGUUCAAAACGUCUUUGAAGUCCCGAUUCUAAGCCAUUAAGCAUGGUGCACUAAACUAUCAAGUAGUCAUCAUAUUGAGCUAGCCAAACGUUCAUAACGUCUGCAUCUGCUCCUGCAAUAGGUUUGUCACCUAGCGGUGCAUCAAGGACAUAAUUUUUCUGUGCAGCAAUGAGGAUAAACCUCAGAUCACGGAUCCAAUCCGUAUCAUUGCUACUAACAUCUUUCAACACAAUUUUCUCUAGGAACAUAUCAAAAUAAACAUAUGAAAGCAACAACGCGAGCUGUUGAUCUUCAACAUAGAUAUGCUAAUACUACCAGGACUAAGUUCAUGAUAAAUUAAAGUUCAAUUAAUCAUAUUACUUAAGAACUCCCACUUAGAUAGACAUCCCUCUAAUCCUCUAAGUGAUCACGUGAUCCAAAUCAACUAAACCAUAACCGAUCAUCACGUGAGAUGGAGUAUUUUUCAAUGGUGAACAUCGUUAUGUUGAUCAUAUCUACUAUAUGAUUCACGCUCGACCUUUCGGUCUCUGUGUUCCGAGGCCAUAUCUGCAUAUGCUAGGCUCGUCAAGUUUAACCUGAGUAUUCUGCGUGUGCAAAACUGGCUUGCACCCGUUGUAGAUGGACGUAGAGCUUAUCACACCCGAUCAUCACGUGGUGUCUGGGCACGACGAACUUUGGCAACGGUGCAUACUUAGGGAGAACACUUCAUGAUAAUUUAGUGAGCGAUCAUCUUAUAAUGCUACCGUCAAUCAAAGCAAGAUAAGAUGCAUAAAAGGAUAAACAUCACAUGCAAUCAAUAUAAGUGAUAUGAUAUGGCCAUCAUCAUCUUGUGCUUGUGAUCUCCAUCUCCGAAGCACCGUCAUGAUCACCAUCGUCACCGACGCGACACCUUGAUCUCCAUCGUAGCAUCGUUGUCGUCUCGCCAAUCUUAUGCUUCCACGACUAUCACUACCGCUUAGUAAUAAAGUAAAGCAUUACAUCGCGAUUGCAUUGCAUACAAUAAAGCGACAACCAUAUGGCUCCUGCCAGUUGCCGAUAACUUGGUUACAAAACAUGAUCAUCUCAUACAAUAAAAUCAGCAUCAUGCCUUGACCAUAUCACAUCACAACAUGCCCUGCAAAAACAAGUUAGACAUCCUCUACUUUGUUGUUGCAAGUUUUACGUGACUGCUACGGGCUUAAGUAAGAAGUCAUCUCACCUACGCAUCAAAACCACAACGAUAGUUCGUCAAAUAGACUCCGUUUUAACCUUCUCAAGGACCGGGCGUAGCCAUACUCGGUUCAACUAAAGUUGGAGAGACAGUCGCCCGCAAGCCAUCUAUGUGCUAAGCACGUCGAGGGAAUCGGUCUCGCGUAAGCGUACGCGUAAGGUUGGUCCGGGUCGUCUCGUCCAACAAUACCGCCGAACCAAAGUAUGACAUGCUGGUAGGCAGUAUGACUUGUAUCGCCCACAACUCACUUGUGUUCUACUCGUGCAAAUAACAUCAAACCAUAAAACCUAGGCUCGGAUGCCACUGUUGGGGAACGUAGUAAUUUCAAAACAUUUCUUACGCACACGCAAGAUCAUGGUGAUGCAUAGCAACGAGAGGGGAGAUUGUUGUCUACGUACCAACGCAGACCGACUGCGGAAGCGAUCACACAACAUAGAGGAAGUAGUCGUACGUCUUCUUUCCGAUCCGACCGAUCCAAGCACCGUUACUCCGGCACCUCCGAGUUCUUAGCACACGUACAGCUCGAUGACGAUCCCCGGGCAUCGAUCCAGCAAAGCUUUGGGGAGGAGUUCCGUCAGCACGACGGCGUGGUGACGAUCUUGAUGUUCUACCGACGCAGGGCUUCGCCUAAGCACUACAACGGUAUGACCGAGGUGGAAUAUGGUGGCAGGGGCAUCGCACACGGCUAAGGGACGAUCUCAAGGAUCAACUUGUGUGUCUAUGGGGUGCCCCUUGCCUCAGUAUAUAAAGGAUGGAGGAGGAGGAGGCCGGCCAAGGCAUAAGGUGCGGCCAGGAUGGGAGUCCUACUAGGACUCCAAGUCCUAGUAGGAGUCCAUCAAGAGGGGAGGAAGGGAGAAGGAAGUGGAGGAGUAGGAAAGGUGGCCGGCCCCUUUUCCCUAGUCCAAUUCGGACUAGAGGGGAGGGGGGCGCAGCAGGCCUUUUCUCCUCUUCCCACUAAAGCCCAUCAAGGCCCAAUACUUCUCCCAGCGAAUUCCCGUAACUCUCCGGUAGUCCGAAAAAUACCCGAAUCACUCGGAACCUUUCCGAAGUCCGAAUAUAGUCGUCCAAUAUAUCGAUCUUUACGUCUCGACCAUUUCGAGACUCCUCGUCAUGUCCCCGAUCUCAUCCGGGACUCCGAACUCCUUCGGUACAUCAAAACUCAUAAACUCAUAAUAUAACUGUCAUCGAAACCUUAAGCGUGCGGACCCUACGGUUCGAGAACAAUGUAGACAUGACCGAGACACGUCUCCGGUCAAUAACCAAUAGCGGGACCUGGAUGCCCAUAUUGGCUCCUACAUAUUCUACGAAGAUCUUUAUCGGUCAAACCGCAUAACAACAUACGUUGUUCCCUUUGUCAUAGGUAUGUUACUUGCCCGAGAUUCAAUCGUCGGUAUCCAAUACCUAGUUCAAUCUCGUUACCGGCAAGUCUCUUUACUCGUUCCGUAAUACAUCAUCUUGCAACUAACUCAUUAAUUGCAAUGCUUGCAAGGCUUAUGUGAUGUGCAUUACCGAGAGGGCCUAGAGAUACCUCUCCGACAAUCGGAGUGACAAAUCCUAAUCUCGAAAUACGCCAACCCAACAUCGACCUUUGGAGACACCUGUAAUGCUCCUUUAUAAUCACCCAGUUACGUUGUGACGUUUGGUAGCAGCCAAAGUGUUCCUCCGGCAAACGGGAGUUGCAUAAUCUCAUAGUCAUAGGAACAUGUAUAAGUCAUGAAGAAAGCAAUAGCAACAUACUAAACGAUCGUGUGCUAAGCUAAUGGAAUGGGUCAUGUCAAUCAGAUCAUUCAACUAAUGAUGUGAUCUCGUUAAUCAAAUAACAACUCUUUUGUCCAUGGUUAGGAAACAUAAUCAUCUUUGAUUAACGAGCUAGUCAAGUAGAGGCAUACUAGUGACACUCUGUUUGUCUAUGUAUUCACACAUGUAUUAUGUUUCCGGUUAAUACAAUUUUAGCAUGAAUAAUAAACAUUUAUCAUGAUAUAAGGAAAUAAAUAAUAACUUUAUUAUUGCCUCUAGGGCAUAUUUCCUUCAGUCAUCAUAUUGAGCUAGCCAAACGUUCAUAACGUCUACAUCUGCUCCUGCAAUAGGUCUGUCACCUAGCGGUGCAUCAAGGACAUAAUUCUUCUGUGCGGCAAUGAGGAUAAACCUCAGAUCACGGAUCCAAUCUGCAUCAUUGCUACUAACAUCUUUCAACACAAUUUCCUCUAGGAACAUAUCAAAACAAACACAGGGAAGUAACAACGCGAGCUAUCGAUCUACAACAUAAUUUGCAAAAUACUACCAGGACUAAGUUCAUGAUAAAUUUAAGUUCAAUUUAAUCAUAUUACUUUAAGAACUCCCACUUAGAUAGACAUCCCUCUAAUCCUCUAAGUGAUCACGUGAUCCAAAUUAACUAAACCAUAACCGAUCAUCACGUGAGAUGGAGUAGUUUUCAAUGGUGAACAUCGUUAUGUUGAUCAUAUCUACUAUAUGAUUCACGCUCGACCUUUCGGUCUCCGUGUUCCGAGGCCAUAUCUGUGAAGGAAAUAUGCCCUAGAGGCAAUAAUAAAGUUAUUAUUUAUUUCCUUAUAUCAUGAUAAAUGUUUAUUAUUCAUGCUAGAAUUGUAUUAACCGGAAACAUAAUACAUGUGUGAAUACAUAGACCAACAUAGUGUCACUAGUAUGCCUCUACUUGACUAGCUCGUUAAUCAAAGAUGGUUAUGUUUCCUAACCAUGAACAAAGAGUUGUUAUUUGAUUAACGAGGUCACAUCAUUAGUUGAAUGAUCUGAUUGACAUGACCCAUUCCAUUAGCUUAGCACCCGAUCGUUUAGUAUGUUGCUAUUGCUUUCUUCAUGACUUAUACAUGUUCCUAUAACUAUGAGAUUAUGCAACUCCCGUUUACCGGAGGAACACUUUGGGUACUACCAAACGUCACAACGUAACUGGGUGAUUAUAAAGGAGUACUACAGGUGUCUCCAAUGGUAGAUGUUGGGUUGGCGUAUUUCGAGAUUAGGGUUUGUCACUCCGAUUGUCGGAGAGGUAUCUCUGGGCCCUCUCGGUAAUGCACAUCACAUAAGCCUUGCAAGCACUGCAACUAAUAUGUUAGUUGUGAGAUGAUGUAUUACGGAACGAGUAAAGAGACUUGCCAGUAACGAGAUUGAACUAGGUAUUGGAUACCGACGAUCGAAUCUCGGGCAAGUAACAUACCGAUGACAAAGGGAACAACGUAUGUUGUUAUGCGGUCUGACCGAUAAAGAUCUUCGUAGAAUAUGUAGGAGCCAAUAUGGGCAUCCAGGUCCCGCUAUUGGUUAUUGACCGGAGACGUGUCUCGGUCAUGUCUACAUUGUUCUCGAACCGUAGGGUCCGCACGCUUAACGUUACGAUGACAGUUAUUAUGAGUUUAUGCAUUUUGAUGUACCGAAGGUUGUUCGGAGUCCCAGAUGAGAUCACAGACUUGACGAGGAGUCUCGAAAUGGUCGAGACGUAAAGAUUGAUAUAUUGGAAGCCUAUGUUUGGACAUAGGAAGUGUUCCGGGUGAAAUCGGGAUUUUACCGGAAUACCGGGAGGGUUACCGGAACCCCCCGGGAGACUAAUGGGCCUAUUGGGCCUUAGUGGAAAAAGAGAAAAGGGGCAACCCAUAGCUGGCCGGCGCCCCCCCUUUCCCCAAGUCCUAGUAGGACUAGGAUAAGGGGCCGGCCCCCCCUUCUCUCUCCUUUUCCCCGAGAGUCCUAAUUGGAAUAGGAUUGGAGGGGGGAGUCCUACUCCCGGUGGGAGUAGGACUCCCCCUGCGCCUCCCUCUCCCUGGCCGGCCGCCCCCCCUCCUCCAACCUUUAUAUACGGGGGCAGGGGACACCCCAAGACACACAAGUUGAUCCUUGAGAUCGUUCCUUAGCCGUGUGCGGUGCCCCCUGCCACCAAAUUCCACCUCGAUCAUACCGUUACAGUGCUUAGGCGAAGCCCUGCGUCGGUAGUACAUCAAGAUCGUCACCACGCCGUCGUGCUGACGGAACUCUUCCUCGACGCUUUGCUGGAUCGGAGCCCGAGGAACGUCAUCGAGCUGAACGUGUGCUAAGAACUCGGAGGUGCCGGAGUAACGGUGCUUGGAUCGGUCGGAUCGGAAAGAAGACGUACGACUACUUCCUCUACGUUGUGUGAUCACUUCCGCAGUCGGUCUGCGUUGGUACGUAGACAACACUCUCCCCUCUCGUUGCUGUGCAUCACCAUGAUCUUGUGUGUGCGUAGGAAAAUUUUCGAAAUUACUGCGUUCCCCAACAAUCUGCAUAUGCUAGGCUCGUCAAGUUUAACCUGAGUAUUCUGCGUGUGCAAAAACUGGCUUGCACCCGUUGUAGAUGGACGUAGAGCUUAUCACACUCUAUCAUCACGUGGUGUCUGGGCACGAUGAACUUUGGCAACGGUGCAUACUCAGGGAGAACACUUCUUGAUAAUUUAGUGAGAGAUCAUCUUAUAAUGCUACCGUCAAUCAAAGCAAGAUAAGAUGCAUAAAAAAGAUAAACAUCACAUGCAAUCAAUUCAAUAUAAGUGAUAUGAUAUGGCCAUCAUAUUCUUGUGCUUGUGAUCUCCAUCUCCGAAGCACCGUCAUGAUCACCAUCGUCACCGGCGCGACACCUUGAUCUCCAUCGUAGCAUCGUUGUCGUCUUGCCAAUCUUAUGCUUCCACGACUAUCGCUACCGCUUAGUGAUAAAGUAAAGCAUUACAUCGCGAUUGCAUUGCAUACAAUAAAACGACAACCAUAUGGCUCCUGCCAGUUGCCGAUAACUCGGUUACAAAACAUGAUCAUCUCAUACAAUAAAAUUUAGCAUCAUGUCUUGACCAUAUCACAUCACAACAUGCCCUGCAAAAACAAGUUAGACGUCCUCUACUUUGUUGUUGCAAGUUUUACGUGGCUGCUACGGGCUUAAGCAAGAACCAAUCUCAGCUACGCAUCAAAACCACAAUGAUAGUUUGUCAAAUAGACUCCGUUUUAACCUUCGCAAGGACCGGGCGUAGCCACACUUGGUUCAACUAAAGUUGGAGAAACAGUCACCCGCAAGCCACCUUUGUGCAAAGCACGUCGGGAGAACCGGUCUCGCGUAAGCGUACGCGUAAUGUCGGUCCGGGCCGCUUCAUCCAACAAUACCGCCGAACCAAAGUAUGACAUGCUGGUAGGCAGUAUGACUUAUAUCGCCCACAACUCACUUGUGUUCUACUCGUGCAUAUAACAUCAAACCAUAAAACCUAGGCUCUGAUACCACUGUUGGGGAACGUAGUAAUUUCAAAAAAUUUCCUACGCACACGCAAGAUCAUGGUGAUGCAUAGCAACGAGGGGGAGAGUCUGAUCUACGUACCCUUGUAGAUCGCAACGGAAGCGUUGACACAACGUAGAGGAAGUAGUCGUACGACUUCUUCCCGAUCCGACCGAUCCAAGCACCAUUACUCCGGCACCUCCAAGUUCUUAGCACACGUACAGCUCGAUGACGAUCCCCGGGCUCCGAUCCAGCAAAGCUCCGGGGAGGAGUUCCGUCAGCACGACGGCGUGGUGACGAUCUUAAUGUACUACCGACGCAGGGCUGCGCCUAAGCACUACAACGGUAUUAUCGAGGUGGAAUAUGGUGGCAGGGGGCACCGCACACGGUUAGGAACGAUCUCAAUGAUCAACUUGUGUGUCUAUGGGGUGCCCCCUGCCCCCGUAUAUAAAGGAGCAAGGGAGGAGGGGCGGCCGGCCUAGGAGUGGGCGCGCCAAGGGGAGUCCUACUCCCACCGGGAGUAGGACUCCUUCUUUCCUUGUCCAACUAGGAGAAGGGGGGAAUGGAGGGAAGUGGAGAAGGAAGGGAGAGGUGGGCCGCGCCCCAAAUCCCUUGUCCAAUUCAGACUAGGCUUGGGAGGGGCGCGCGCCACCUCCUGGCUCCUUCCCACUAAAGCCCAUUAAGGCCCAAUACUCUUCCCCGUAUUCCCGUAACUCCCCGGUACCUCCGAAAAUACCCGAAUCACUCGGAACCUUUCCGAUGUCUGAAUUGUAACACCCUCGAUGCGACUAUAUCUCCCACGUGUCGAGGCACGACUUAGAGGCAUAAUCGCAUUGAAGGCAAUGUCGCAAGUGAGGUAAUCUUCACACAACCCAUGUAAUACAAUAGGGGAAAAAGUUACAUAGUUGGCUUACAAUCGCCACUUCACACAAUUACAUGAAUAAAGCAUUACAUCAUUCAAAUACACUCAAGGUCCGACUACGGAACCAAAAUAAAAGAAGAACCCCAAAUGCGACAAAGGUCCCCGAUCGACCCCAACUGGGCACCACUACUGAUCAACUAGAACGAAACAACAUAAAGGACAAGAUCUUCAACGAGCUCCUCCUGAGCUUGGUUGCGUCAUCUGCACGGACUCAUCGGCACCUGCAAACUGGUUUUGGAAGUAAUCUGUGAGCCAUGGGGACUCAGCAAUCUCGCACCCUCGCGAUCAAGACUAUUUAAGCUUAUGGGUAAGGUAAAGGUAUGAGGUGGAGCUGCAGCAAGCGACUAGCAUAUAUGGUGGCUAACAUACGCAAAUGAGAGCGAGAAGAGAAGGCAAGGCACGGUCGAUAAAGUAUGAUCAAGAAGUGAUCAUGGACUACCUACGUCAAGCAUAACUCCAACAACCGUGUUCACUUCCCGGACUCCGCCGGAAAGAGACCAUCACGGUUACACACGCGGUUGAUUCAUUUUAAUUAAGGUCGACUUCAGGUUUUCUACAACCGGACGUUAACAAAUUCCCAUCUGCCCAUAACCGCGAGCACGGCUUUCGAAAGAUCAAAUCCCUGCAGGGGUGUCCCAACUUAGCCCAUUACAAGCUCUCACGGACAACGAAGGAAUAGACCUCCACCCGAGACAUUCCGAUCAGACUCGGUAUCCCAGUACAACAAGACAUUUCGACAGGGUAAAACUAAACCAGCAACACCACCCGAAUGUGCCAACAAAUCCCGAUAGGAGCUGCACAUAUCUCUUUCUCAGGGCACACCGGAUCGUCCAAACUUCCGGUAGGCCAGCCCAGAGUUGCCCCUGGUGGCCACCGGCGGCUGACAGUUUGGACCAACACUCAGAGGAGCACUGGCCCGGGGGGGGGGGGUAAAUAAUGAUGACCCUUGAGUCUGCAGUACCCAAGGGAAAGAAAAAGGCUAGGUGGCAAAUGGUAAAACCAAUGUUGGGCAUUGCUGGAGAAGCUUUACUUAAGGCGAACUUGUAACACCCUCGAUGCGACUAUAUCUCCCACGUGUCGAGGCACGAUUUUGAGGCAUAAUCGCAUUGAAGGCAUAUGUCACAAGUGAGGUAAUCUUCACACAACCCAUGUAAUAUAACAAGGGAAAGAGAUACAUAGUUGGCUUACAACCGCCACUUCACACAAUUACAUGAAUAAAGCAUUACAUCAAUCAAGUACACUCAUGGUCCGACUACGGAACCAAAAUAAAAGAAGAACCCCAAAUGCGACAACGGUCCCCGAUCGACCCCAACUGGGCUCCACUACUGAUCAACUAGCACGAAACAAC
RNAcentral lists this long non-coding RNA (18326 nucleotides) under Triticum aestivum (bread wheat). RNAcentral's name for it is "long non-coding RNA (TAES_LNC010944)". The record is from RNAcentral. Lineage: Eukaryota; Viridiplantae; Streptophyta; Magnoliopsida; Poales; Poaceae.